This 161-nucleotide ribosomal RNA is filed under the name Cronobacter sakazakii. RNAcentral describes it as "partial 16S ribosomal RNA". It matches the Rfam family "Bacterial small subunit ribosomal RNA", at positions 1301 to 1461 of the family's 1533-position model. The record is from RNAcentral. Lineage: Bacteria; Pseudomonadati; Pseudomonadota; Gammaproteobacteria; Enterobacterales; Enterobacteriaceae.
GAGUCAUCAAAACGCCUCCAUGAAUUCGUACUCGCUACUAAUCGUCGCUCACCAUGUCACAGUGAAUGUGUUCCCGAGCAGUGUACACUCCGUCCGUCACAGCAUGGGAGUUGGUUGCACAAGAAGUAGGUAGCUUAUCCUUCGGGAGGGCGCUUACCACU